AUCCUUAUGCAAGGGAAAUACGCAUAUCAGUGAGGAUUCGUCCGAGAUUGUGUUUUUGCUGGUUGAAAUUUAAUUAAACCAGACCUGCUCCUCAUUGUCGCCAGUUAGAUGUUCGCUUCAUGAACAUCUCAGAUAAUGUAGGGAAUUUUUGGAAUACUUUUAUUUUCUAAUCAUGAAUUUUCCCAUCAAGAUAACCGAUGAGAGAAGGAGU
Molecule: small nuclear RNA, 211 nt
Rfam family: U4 spliceosomal RNA (bases 1-163)
About the family: U4 small nuclear RNA (U4 snRNA) is a component of the major U2-dependent spliceosome. The structure of U4 snRNA from yeast and human has been reported.